UGCCAGCCGCCGCGGUAAUACGGAGGGGGCUAGCGUUGUUCGGAAUUACUGGGCGUAAAGCGCGCGUAGGCGGUUCGGCAAGUUAGGUGUGAAAGCCCGGGGCUCAACCCCGGAACUGCACUUAAAACUGCUGGGCUAGAGGCCGAGAGAGGUGAGUGGAAUUCCCAGUGUAGAGGUGAAAUUCGUAGAUAUUGGGAAGAACACCAGUGGCGAAGGCGACUACCUGGACCGAUAUUGACACUGAGGUGCGAAAGCGUGGGGAGCAAACAGGAUUAGAUA
This 279-nucleotide ribosomal RNA is filed under the name uncultured bacterium. Its description in RNAcentral is "partial 16S ribosomal RNA". It matches the Rfam family "Bacterial small subunit ribosomal RNA", at positions 506 to 784 of the family's 1533-position model. The record is from RNAcentral.